AAUUUUUUUUUCUUUUUAAGAGACAGGUUCUCACUCUGUCACCCAUGCUAGUGGUAUGAUCAUAGCUCCCUGCAGCCUCCAAUUCCUGGGCUCAAGCAAUCCUUCUGCCUCAGCCUCCCAAGUAGCUGUGACUACAGGCAUGCACCUCCAUGCCCAGUUAACUUUUUACAUUUUUUACAGAGACAAGGAUCUUACUAUAUUACCCAGGCUGGUCUCAAACUCCUGACCUUCAAGUCAUCCUCCUGCCUCUGCCUCCAGAGUAGCUGGGAUUACAGAUAUGAGCCGCUACACCUGCCCCUUGCCAAAGGGUCCCAUCCACCAACCCCCUGGUGGAGCCUCACUUCGUCUGGAUGGCUGGAGGGGCCUGAAGCCAAGGAGAACAUGGAGAAACAGGCGAGUGCCCCCACACAGCAGCAUAGUUACCAAGUCCUGACUACCCACGGCCAUAAGGAGAGUACAGACCCUUGCGAUCCACCAAACUCCCAAACACGCAGCUGCUUUUCAGCCCAAACCCAGCCCCACCUGAAGCAGGCAUGCAGACAUUCGCUGACCACCUCAGCCUCCGCACAGCCAGUUCCAGGCAGUGGACUCCAGCCUGCAGACCUGGGCAGUCACUCAGGUAGCUAAGAAAUCCCCCGGACAAAACACUAGGUGGGGGCGUGGCAAGUGGGCAGUUGAGGGAACGUGGGUGAUGCGGUCAGGGUCCACUUACCAUUUGUUGUCACAGAACUUGUAGCGAUGGUCAUCGGCAGGGACAAUGUCAAUCAGCAGGAUAUACUUGGUCUUGGGGUUCAUGCCUGUGACUUUUACCUUGUAGCUGGGGAACAUCCUCCUGGGGGAGCCGAGGGGUGAGGCGGAGCGUGUGGACAGAGCACCAGGAGAGAUGGAACAGAGUGAGCAAGGGGGCAGAAGGCCGCUAACAGAUGCUGCCCUUUUGGCCAGCGAUCCUGGCAUUGGUCACAGCUGUGUGACCUGCACAACUCACUUCCCCCUCUGCCCGAGCUGCACAGUGAAAAGGUGGCACUGGCUGCUGUCUCUGAGCCCCUGCAGCUAUCAGUCUGUGUCUAGGAGGAGAGUUUACACCAUUUCCCAAAUUCACUUAUCCCCUCCCCCAUAAUCCCCUAAGACUUGGGGCUAGUGCCCAUGAGCAGCUGAAGCACAGAGACCCCAGUCAGGAUUGUGGGAGCAGAUUCUGACGCCAACCUUGCUGCCUUAAUUUCCCUCCUGUCCUUUGCCAGCCCACACACAAGUGAAGUUCUGGGGUGCAGUUAUAGGGGGACGGAAACCCCCGUCAGCUGCUUCCAUAAAUAAUGAGCUGCCUCCUCUGGGUCAUGCCUCUGUGGAAAUCCUUAGGCCUAAAACCAGCUUGCAGGAAAACAGGAGACUGCUGUCCAAAACCCUGCUAGGUUUGGGUUCUUCCAGUGUGUCUAUCGGGGGUACUUCUCCCUGUGAACACCUCACCUGGACCUGUGCACCCUGAGUAUCAGGGGAAAGUCGGUCCAGGAGCCUCAUGGAUAAGAGAGGGCAUGGAUUCUGAAACCACCUGCCAUGGUCACAGCCUGGACCCCACUGAUAAGCCUUAGGCAACUUGCUUGAACCUCUCUGUGCCUUGGUUUCCUUAUCUCUAAAAUGAGGAUAACAUUACCACCUAUCUCAUAGAUUGCUGCGUGAAUUACCACGGACCCCUGCUGCACUCCUCCCUCAGCAAAGUAAAUGGAGAAGUGGUAUGACCUACUUCUGUGAAAAUGGAUUCACCAAAACCCAGAAAGUUUGUCAUUUCCUGCAGCCCAUGCUGAGGCUGUCAAGGGCCCUGAGGUUCGAGGCACAUUCUAGAGGGGGCUUCCGCACACCCCUCAGCACAUACGCACACACAACAGCACAGCGCAUACACAAACGCUCUGGGCACAGCUCCCUCCCCUAGUCACUAGGUCCCUGACUUCACCAGAGGGAAGAACGGAACUUCCCACGAUCCUCCUCAGACUCCAUCCCCCACCCCAGCUGAUCUUCCACAAAGGUGUUCCCCAAGAGAAACAGGAUCCAAACCUAGCUGAAGACACAGUGAAGACACUAAGCCCCACUGAGCUGUGCCACUGCCCGGCUGGUCCACUCUGGGACAACCAUCAGGUGGUUCUCUGCCUCUCACUAACCCAAGACAGUACGGGACCCUGGAGAAGCUGUCCAAGAUGCCACAAACAGCUGAUCAGAGGCCCCUAUUUUGUCACCAGGGGCACCAGCUUACCUGGACAGAACAGGGCUUCCAGAAAGGAUCAAGGCCUCUAUAAGCUGGCGGGCCCUAAGCCCAGGCGAGGACCCCGACCGAGGUGGAGGGUUCACUUCCUUGCCAGCCCACGCCCCACCCAGCCCCGCCUGUGCCCCUCUCUUGCUGGAGGAGAGGCCUGUGCAAGCACUGCAGGGCGGGGACGUGGGGAUGUGGGGUGUGUGUGCCCAGGCGCAUGUGAGCGGUGUGCAAGUGCGCAUGUGUGGAUGUGUGCGUGCCUGGAGGGAGGAGGGAAGUUCUAGCUGCAAGUCUAGGGACUUAUAAACCUUGUGGAAGAAUUUGUCUCAGAUGUCAAUUGAAAGCAUUUUCAAAUACCCACCCCACCCCCUCUCCAGGAAUGGGGGAAGUGAGGGGCUCAGGAACCCAACCCUGCCUCCUGCUUACCAGCCCCCCUAUGGGGCCUGGGGGCGCAGCUGGAUCUUGCACCACCCUUUCCCGGCCCUGCCUCUCUCCUGGUGGGCCAACAGCUGAAGCAGGGAGGGCAGCAGCUGCCUCACCUCCCCCUUCCCUGGGGUAAGGCCAAGAAUCCCGCCCCCUGCAGGCCACCAUUUUGUAACUGCCACAGAAACAGCCACAAAAUGGGGCAGCCCUGGCCAUACUUGGGCUGGCCUGGCACCGGGGGCCUGCACUCAGCUUGUUUCCUGUCAUCAUUCCAGGUGGCAACAGCAGAGGGCAGCCAUGGCUUCCCUCCAGGGCCAGUGUCCACAUAGGGGGCCAGGAGCGAAGGGCUCACUGCCACUUUGGCACGCGUCAUAGCCUAGGCUGAGAGGAGGCUAAGGGGCCCUGGCCUUCCCCUCUCCUUCUCCCUGCUGGGCUUCAUUUCCACAGCCCAGGGGGCCAGGCUGACACUAACUAAGUGCUUUCUGGAAGGCCUUUGAGGAGCCUGUUCUCUGCAGCCCCAGCUGGUGUCUUGGGACCUGGCCCCUGCUGGAAGCUGAUCGUAGGCCAGAUUCCUGACUGAUAAGGAGAUGUGGGCGUCGGCACAGGGAAGGGGAGUACCUCCCAGCCUCGCCUCCCCUGCCCACCAAUUCCCCUCUACCUAAGGCAGCAGCGCUCAGAAGCCGAGGGACAGGGACGUAGGAUGUCUGGUCUGAAUGGGGAGUUCAAAAGCCCUCUGCUGUGGCCUGAACUGCCUCAGGGAGUUCCAUUGCCUUCAAUGCAACAGAUGUCUAGGUCUUGGCAGGGUCUAGUUGGGGGACUGCUUCUGAGCCAUGCAGAACCCACUCUGGGGUGGGGUGGGGGGCCCUAAGCACUACCGUUUCCCUGCCUAGGUGGCUCCAGAAGGAGGAAGGGUCCACCCAGCGUUGGGAAAGGGCUGCCUGUGAAAGUGAGGCCCCCUCUGUCCCCUCCAUUGGCUUCCUGCCCAGGUCGAGGGGAGAAUUCAAGGCCCCUUGGGCAUCUGCCCUUGGGUUCUUGAAGGGACUAAAGUUGGUGCCUAGACGCCUGACUUGGGGGUGUUCCCCAGCGUGGCAUGCCUCAGGCGACAGAGGCCAGGCUGGGUUUGGGAGCUGUGACUUCCUGUGAGCUCUGCCUCUCUCAUGAAAGGUUUGAAAUGAUGGAGUGAGAUGUAAAUUGUUUCUGUGAUUUAUGACAUAGAAUGUACCUGAAAACCAACACCCUACGGUGGAAAGCAACGCCUCCCUGUUUGUGUGUUGGGGUGGGGGAGGUGACCAAGAAGGAAGACACUGUGUGUGCCGCCUGUGUCCACGCAGGCCCUGCCACCAGCGCUGGCGGUGAAGCCCGCCUGUCCCGGGCACUCUGCGCUCUACCUCUGGGUCCGCCCCAGCCAGCCCCCUCCUUGCGCGCUCCCCCUCUCCCCUCCCUGCACCCUCUCCCUAUGCCCCCUACCCUCUCCCUGCUCCCACCCCGUCCUCCUGUCCCUCCCUCUUCCCAGCCCCUCGGCACGCUUUCC
RNAcentral lists this long non-coding RNA (4190 nucleotides) under Homo sapiens (human). RNAcentral describes it as "HSALNT0243499". The record is from RNAcentral. Lineage: Eukaryota; Metazoa; Chordata; Mammalia; Primates; Hominidae.